UGGCUAUUUUUUUUAUUUUAUUAAUAAAAAUAAAAUAAUUUAUGAAUUCAAAAUCCAAAUCAAAAGAAACGAUUUGAUUUAAGCAUGCGAUAUUCGAUUUCUCUUAUCUGACUUCUCAUAUUAUUCACGACGUGGUUUAAGAAGCUAUGCCUCAAAUCUCGAUUUUCAUAUUUUCAUCAUUUUGGUUGUGUUCGGAGAAGAAGAAGAAGAACGAGCGACAGGAGGCCUGUACCGGAAGAGAUCGUCCAUGGGAGACGCUGGAGGGAGAGCACCGUCAUGGGUUCUGGUUUUGUUCUGGGUUAAACGAACGGGUUCGAAAAUCUUCAAGCCAAAUUUCUAUAUCUCCAUUUUCCCCAAUUUCUAAGCACCGACGACGAAUUAGGUUUUUGUUCAUUUGGCUAAUUCGACCAGAUAUCGGUCGGAUCAAAUGUAUUGUCACCAGAGUAUCCGAUUGUAUGACGCCAGCGCCAAUGUGCUUCGAAGUGAGUUCAGGCACGGCGGUGCCGUUCUCGACUGUUGCUUCCACGAUGAUUCUUCCGGGUUUAGUGCCGGCGCCGACAAUACAGUGAGACAGUGAGACGGCUUGUUUUUAACUACAAUAAGGAGGACAUUCUAGGUUGACAUGAUGCACCUGUACGGUGUGUUGAGUACUCUUAUGCAGCAGGUCAGUUGAUUACAGGAAGUUGGGACAAAACACUGAAGUGUUGGGACCCUUAGAGGAGCAAGUGGGCAGGAGCGCACCCUUGUUGGGACAUAUGCUCAACCUGAGCAUGUAUACUCUCUUUCAUUAGCUGGAAAUCGUUUAGUUGUUACAGUGUUUCUCUUACUACUUGUACAUUGGUCGUGUUUUAUUUUCAUGCUGUCUACUUUUAAAUUUUAUGGAUGUAUAUGGCUAAGCAACUUUGGUUAUUGUAUUAUCAUUGCUGAUACAUAGUUGAGUAUUUUUAGCUUUACACUGUGAAAUUUCGUUAAAGGCUAGAUGAAUGCUAAUACAUGAUGGUUUCCGAGAUUGAAAACAGAUGGAGAUAUACAACUUCCUACUAUUGCAAUA
Molecule: long non-coding RNA, 1051 nt
Organism: Cannabis sativa
Lineage: Eukaryota; Viridiplantae; Streptophyta; Magnoliopsida; Rosales; Cannabaceae
Exons: 3
Source: RefSeq, a predicted model, not a curated record